This 475-nucleotide ribosomal RNA is filed under the name Cheirogenesia edmundsi. Its description in RNAcentral is "partial 16S ribosomal RNA". It matches the Rfam family "Bacterial large subunit ribosomal RNA", at positions 1827 to 2568 of the family's 2925-position model. The record is from RNAcentral. Lineage: Eukaryota; Metazoa; Arthropoda; Insecta; Ephemeroptera; Palingeniidae.
CAUCGCUUAUUGUUAGUAUAAUAGGUCUAGUCUGCCCACUGAAAAGAAUUGAAGGGCCGCAGUAUUUUGACUGUGCAAAGGUAGCAUAAUCAUUAGUCUUCUAAUUAAAGGCUGGAAUGAAUGGCUGAACGAGGUAUUAACUGUCUCACUUAAAUAAGAUGAAUUUAAAUUUUUAGUGAAAAGGCUAAAAUGUGGUUAGAGGACGAGAAGACCCUAUAGAGCUUUAUAAAUUUAUAAUGAUAUUGUUUGGGAGAUUUAAAAUAUAUUUAUAGUUUAUUUUGUUGGGGUGAUAAAUGGAUAAAUUAACUCUAUUGUAAUUGACCAUUGAUGAAUGAAUAAGGGAUCCAUUAUUAAUGAUUAAAAAUUAAGUUACCUUAGGGAUAACAGCGUAAUCUUUUUAGAGAGUUCAAAUCGAUAAAAGGGUUUGCGACCUCGAUGUUGGACUAAGGUAAAUUUUGGGUGCAGCAAUUCAAAU